ACGGGCAUGCUCACGUGCACCUCUCCUUCCAGUCCCAGUCGUUUCCUGCUGUCCCCCCAGGAGCCGUAGGCAGGACCCUAGCUUAGCCCUCCCAGAGCUCCAGGCUGGCGGUGGGGCGCAGCUGAGGGAGGUGUCCCAGAGGAGGGGCCUUUGGGGAUGAUGAGGCUUUGCCAGUGGGAUAGGAGUCUACCAAGUGUUGUGCGAAGAGGGAGGGAAGGCCCCAGGCUGACUGGCGUGGGAUUCGAACCAUGCUUGCCAUGCACGGUCUGCUUCUCUGGACUAGCACAUCCAUUGCUGCUGGAGAGACACUGAGAGGGGGAGGAAGACGAGAGCCCAGGCUGCCGGGUGGACCCCAGCUGCGCUCCCAAGACCCCAGGGUGCUGGCUCCACACCUGCUUCUCAGGUGGAGCGGUGCCAGCCCUCAACAGCUGGCUUCUGCCAGGCACAUUGGCCCUGCAGCCCCCAGGUGAGGAGGGGUCUCGGGGCCUCCUGUAGGCCCUACAUCCCUGCAGCCACCCGGCGAGGUGGGACGCUCCCCCUGCACUUGUCCCACUGGUGUUGCGAUGGGGAUGGGGACAGGGCCCCAGACAGCAGCUCUGUGCCUCCUCUGGCUCACAGGGACCCUGCGUGUGGGUCACCUCUGAAUGUGGGGCCACGCCCAGCGAGCGCACAGGCCAAGGUGGGGUGGGCAUCCAGUGGGGUGGGGAAAUGUGGCCCAGCCCCACGUGAGGCUGCAUUGGUGGCACUGGGGACCUGGCAUCUGGAGCCCUGCAGCCCCCCCGAGACACACCUGAGCCAGCUUCCCGGCUUUCCGGUGUGUUUCGGCCCUCGUGUGUGUGGCGUGCGCCUGCGCUCUGGGUCCCUGCGCCUCUGCCUCUGCUCCUGCUGCACAAGGGCCCCUGUCCAGCCUGCCUGCCAGCUUGUGUGAGCAAGCAGGGCGUGACACAGGCCGGCACAGCCCUGACCCACAGCUAGCUGCAUGUCAUAUGCACAGCCUGCAGCCACCCUGCACAGGCGGCGGGGCUGCUGCCUACACGCGUGUGCCCGGCGGGGACGUGUGGGCCGCUGGGUAUGCAUUUGUGUGUGCCCGGCGGGGACGUGUGGGCCACCGUGUAUGCAUUUGUGUGUGCCCAGCGGGGACGUGUGGGCCGCCGGGUAUGCACACGUGUGCCCGGCGGGGACGCUGCAGGCAGACGUGGGUGUGCAUAUGUGUGGGUUCCUCACAAAACCUGUGUGCUGGGGGCGUCCUUGUGUGGCCCGGCCUGGCCUUUGACCCACUGGGAUAGCCUGGCUGGGUCAGGACAGAUGGGGCCAGACAGCCUCCACGUUCUUGGGCUGUGACUCAGGCCUGUGGGGAGGGGUGAGUCACGGGACCGUGGGCUGCCCAGCCCAGUGCCCCCCAGCAUGGACAGAGCCCCCUCCUGGGGACGGGGACGUCCAGCCUGCGUGCCGCCCUGCGCUGGAGCUCAGGCACCCACGGCCUGGGGAGGCCCGCCCCCGCGCAGGCCAGCAGCAGAACCCAGAGGACCCUACUCCUUCCUCCCGGCCUCAGCCUCCUGCAGCCUGGUUCCCCAGGAGGGAGGCCUGAAUGCUGGGGACCCGAGUCACGCCAGCAGGCAUUGGCGCCCAUGCUUUGUGGUGCCGGCCCACCCGAGUCACGCACACUCAGCGCCGGCCCAGCUGCUCCCACGUCGACACCCGGGUGGGCUGGCGCCUUGCAAACGCACUGGGCAUCCUCGCACACCGCACGCCCUGGUUCCGGCAGGCCCUCUCCCGUGCGCACAGCAACCCCCUUCUCCCUGUGGUCCCCACCGGACCUCUGCCCCGCACAUACGCGCCCCACACCUGGCAACGCGCGCUCAG
Molecule: long non-coding RNA, 1863 nt
Organism: Tupaia belangeri chinensis (Chinese tree shrew)
Lineage: Eukaryota; Metazoa; Chordata; Mammalia; Scandentia; Tupaiidae
Exons: 3
Source: RefSeq, a predicted model, not a curated record